UUCGCAAAGAAUAAAUAGGAGAUCUGGGGCCUAUUCCAUCAUGAGAUAUAAGGAUGAAGAAGUUUCGAGUUUAUAGCCGCUUGCAAGGUAAAAGAAAAUAUCUCUAAGUAAAGUAGAAAAAAAUAAAGAUAACGGACAGUCCCGCCUCAGUCCACAUAAAGUUGGGAACCAAUUAGUAGUAGCACCAUUAUUAAGGGUUGAGUACACAAGCUGCAAUCUAACUAAUAAAUUGAUCAGAGAAUUGAAAUUACUUAUGCACCUUUAAAAAAAAAACCCAUUGCACCUAUAUGCUUUUUCCAUAUCCACUUUGAUC
Molecule: long non-coding RNA, 313 nt
Filed under: Elaeis guineensis (African oil palm)
Lineage: Eukaryota; Viridiplantae; Streptophyta; Magnoliopsida; Arecales; Arecaceae
Description: long non-coding RNA (EGUI_LNC023348)
Source: RNAcentral